UAGUCGAAAGGGAAACAGCCCAGACCACCAGCUAAGGUCCCAAAAUAUAUGUUAAGUGGAAAAGGAUGUGGGGUUGCACAGACAACUAGGAUGUUAGCUUAGAAGCAGCUAUUCAUUCAAAGAGUGCGUAAUAGCUCACUAGUCGAGUGACCCUGCGCCGAAAAUGUACCGGGGCUAAAACAUAUUACCGAAGCUGUGGAUACCUUUAUAGGUAUGGUAGGAGAGCGUUCUAUGUGCGAAGAAGGUGUACCGUGAGGAGUGCUGGAGCGCAUAGAAGUGAGAAUGCCGGUAUGAGUAGCGAAAGACAGGUGAGAAUCCUGUCCACCGUAAGACUAAGGUUUCCAGGGGAAGGCUCGUCCGCCCUGGGUUAGUCGGGACCUAAGGAGAGACCGAAAGGUGUAUCCGAUGGACAACAGGUUGAUAUUCCUGUACUAGAGUAUAUAGUGAUGGAGGGACGCAGUAGGCUAACUAAACCAGACGAUUGGAAGUGUCUGGCCAAGCAGUGAGGUGUGAUAUGAGUCAAAUGCUUAUAUCUAUAACAUUGAGCUGUGAUGGGGAGCGAAGUUUAGUAGCGAAGUUAGUGAUGUCACACUGCCGAGAAAAGCUUCUAGCGUUAAUUAUACUCUACCCGUACCGCAAACCGACACAGGUAGUCGAGGCGAGUAGCCUCAGGUGAGCGAGAGAACUCUCGUUAAGGAACUCGGCAAAAUGGCCCCGUAACUUCGGGAGAAGGGGCGCUGACUUAUGGUCAGCCGCAGUGAAUAGGCCCAAGCAACUGUUUAUCAAAAACACAGCUCUCUGCUAAAUCGUAAGAUGAUGUAUAGGGGGUGACGCCUGCCCGGUGCUGGAAGGUUAAGAGGAGUGCUUAGCAAUAGCGAAGGUAUGAAUUGAAGCCCCAGUAAACGGCGGCCGUAACUAUAACGGUCCUAAGGUAGCGAAAUUCCUUGUCGGGUAAGUUCCGACCCGCACGAAAGGCGUAAUGAUUUGGGCACUGUCUCAACGAGAGACUCGGUGAAAUUUUAGUACCUGUGAAGAUGCAGGUUACCCGCGACAGGACGGAAAGACCCCAUGGAGCUUUACUGCAGUUUGAUAUUGAGUAUCUGUACCACAUGUACAGGAUAGGUAGGAGCCUAUGACCUCGGGACGCCAGUUUCGAGUGAGGCGUUGUUGGGAUACUACCCUUGUGUUAUGGCUACUCUAACCCAGAUAGGUUAUCCCUAUCGGAGACAGUGUCUGACGGGCAGUUUGACUGGGGCGGUCGCCUCCUAAAAGGUAACGGAGGCGCCCAAAGGUUCCCUCAGAAUGGUUGGAAAUCAUUCGCAGAGUGUAAAGGUAUAAGGGAGCUUGACUGCGAGAGCUACAACUCGAGCAGGGACGAAAGUCGGGCUUAGUGAUCCGGUGGUUCCGCAUGGAAGGGCCAUCGCUCAACGGAUAAAAGCUA
Molecule: ribosomal RNA, 1441 nt
Filed under: human gut metagenome
Description: bacterial LSU rRNA
Rfam family: Bacterial large subunit ribosomal RNA
Source: RNAcentral